Molecule: non-coding RNA, 156 nt
Filed under: Mesodinium pulex
Lineage: Eukaryota; Ciliophora; Litostomatea; Cyclotrichida; Mesodiniidae
Source: RNAcentral
UCUAUUUCUUUUUUUGAAAUUCUCAAAUUAAAGCAGGAACGAAAAAUUAGAAGAAAUUUCUAUAAUUUGAAUUUAAUAUCAGACAAGGAUAUAUAGAUGUAAUCGGAUAUUUUUAAUAAAAUAGAUGUGGACCAGAAUAUGUGGAUAGACAAACGC